CCCUUAGAUGUUCUGGGCCGCACGCGCGCUGCACUGAUGCAUUCAACGAGUCUAAAACCUGCUCUGAUAGGGGUGGGUAAUCUUUUGAAUGUGCAUCGUGAUUGGGAUAGAUGAUUGCAAUUUUUCAUCUUCAACGAGGAAUGCCUAGUAAACGCAAGUCAUCAGCUUGCAUUGAUUACGUCCCUGCCCUUUGUACACACCGCCCGUCGCUCCUACCGAUUGAAUGAUCCGAUGAAUAUCAUGGAUUGAGGAUUAUAGCAGGUUCGCCUGUCUUGAUCUUCGAGAAGUGAAGUAAAUCUUAUCAUUUAGAGGAAGGAGAAGUCGUAACA
RNAcentral lists this ribosomal RNA (329 nucleotides) under uncultured eukaryote. RNAcentral's name for it is "partial 18S ribosomal RNA". It matches the Rfam family "Eukaryotic small subunit ribosomal RNA", at positions 1470 to 1796 of the family's 1831-position model. The record is from RNAcentral.